AGUAAGUCCAGCCCGAGGCUAAGGUGAGAGCGUCUGCCGGGACAGUGUGGCUGGACCCACGUGGCAGGAGGUGUUAACCACCGAAGGGAGGUAGAAUGUUUUUCCCCACCAGAGGAGGCAGCGACCACGUCUCCUCUAUGGAGGCAUUCAAGAGCCGUCCAGCUGAAGCAGCAUCACUGUCUGAGCUCGGAAGGCACAAUCCACAUAGGUCUGCAUGGUCCACCGAGCUGCAUACCCACGGGGCCAGCGGGAGGUGGGCAGCUGCUGGGCUCUCUUCUGAAGCAGGGUCUUGCUCUGUCACCCAGUCUGGAAUGCAGUGGUGCCAUCAUAGCUCACUACAGCCUGAGCUGUACUGAGCUCGAGGGAUCUUCCCGUCUCCGCCUCCUAAGCAGCUGGGACUACAGGCAAGAAGAAAGCUUCCCUACACAUUUAUCAAGGCUGUUAUAAUCCUGACUCCCAAACAAGGUGUCAGAAACGAAGAGACUCAAGAAAAGACUGCCUGCCCUACUCACCUUGACUGAGCGCUGACGAAGACCACGGGGCCCUCUGCGCUGCAAGGGCGGAGGUGGCCCAGAAGCCCGCAGUGCCCACGUGCAGGACCCAGGGUAGGGGGUGAGGCCGGACGAUGGCACCCGCCCCGCUGGUUCCCAGCCACACAGGGAGGCAAAGCAAAGGCAGCCCGCGGGCGGAUGGAGCUGCAGGGGCCGAGCGUCGGCAAGCCCAGGACGGCCUGGCGCAGGGUUGCGGGCGCCCGACCUCCAGCGUGGCCCGCGGAUGCAAGACAAAGCUUUAAAGCCUCCGGCCGCACAGCCACCCACUAGUCCCCAGGUAUGAGGACGGUCUGAAGAACCUCUCUCUCCUCUGCCUGCUGAAGAGUUCCAAGACAAGUAAGGCAACAGCAAGGACGACACAACCACACACCGCCACAACCACACGCCACCACCACCACACACUACCACAACCACACCACACACCUCCACAACCACACACCACCAACCCCACACUGCCACAACCACACACAACCACACACCACCACCACACACCAGAACCACACACAACCACACAUAACCACAACCACACAACACCACAACCACAACCACACACCAGCACCACAACACACAACCACAACCUCCCUCUGAGCUGCUCAGGCUGCUUUAACCAACCAGUUUGGAAUCCAAUCAAAAUCCUCUGCUGCCGUCUAGCGACGAAUACCGGGAAAGCAGAAUAUAUAGUAAGAAAGCUGUUUAAGAGGCAAAAAGUGAUCGUCUAAAGGUUUGCAAGUGCAAGCCAGAAGAACCUGGUCAUCCUGUGUUCAUGACAGUGCCUUGAACUGGGUCACCCCGCACUUGCUAAGGGGCUGGUGUGGGAUGUGACAAGAAGAAAGUCGUCAAGGGGACUCCAAGAUUUCUGACUUGAGAAACUGAAAAAGCCACUGUUAACUGAGAUUUUUUUUUUUUUUAAUGUGGGUGGAACGGAUUUGGGCAUAAAGAUUUAAAAAUCCAGUUUGAAACGUGCUAAAUUGGAAUGUUUAAAAGGGAAUACUUGCUAAACUGAGCAAUAAUUAUGCUGUCUCCAGGUUAGCACGCGUCCCCUUUUAGGUCAAAGGAUACAGAGUAGCAAGUAUGUAGGAGGAACAAAUCAAAAGAUCUAAUGAACAACAUCGGGACUGUCGUUUCUAUAGUGUGUUGUGUUAAGGAUUUUUGCAAAAUCAGUAGAUCAUAGCUGCUCUUGCCACAAGGCGGAAAAACGGAAAAAUGGAAAAACGGGUAACUAUGUGAGAUGAUGGAUAUAUUAAUCUGUUGUACUCUAGUAACCAUUUCACUAGAUACAUAAUAUCGUGUUGAACACCUUAAAUAUACACCACCAGAUUUAUUUUUUAAAAUAAAAAUGAAACAUGGCUUG
RNAcentral lists this long non-coding RNA (1902 nucleotides) under Homo sapiens (human). Its description in RNAcentral is "long intergenic non-protein coding RNA 668". Lineage: Eukaryota; Metazoa; Chordata; Mammalia; Primates; Hominidae. The record is from RNAcentral.